CCCUGGGGGAGGGCAUGGCAACCCACUCCAGUAUCCUUGCCUGGAGAAUCCCCAUCGACCGAGGAGCCUGGCUGCAUUCUCCAGAACCUCCCAUGAAAUCCCUCCAUUGAUUUCCUCCCUUCAAGGAUCGUUGUUGUUCCUUGUUGAAGUCGCUCAGUCGUCUGACUCUUUGCGACCCCGUGGACUGCAGCAUGCCUGACUUACCUGUCCUUCACCCAUCUCCCCAAUGUCAUCCAGGGAUGGCGCAGUGGUAAAGAAUCUGCCUGCCAAGCAGGAGACACAAGAGACGUGUGUUCGAUCCCUGGGUCAGGAAGAUAACCUGGAGGAGGAAAUGGCUACCCACUCCAGUAUUCUUGCCUGGAAAAUUCCAUGCACAGAGGAGCCCCGAGGGUGAUAGUUUAUAAAAUCAUAAAGAUUGAACACAGCUGAGCAUGCACGUGCUCAUACCUUAGUGAUCACGGUUAAUCCUUGCAGGGCUACAAGUCACAUGUUGUUAUUCUUCCUUUGGUAGUUAAAGACACCAGGGCCAGAAGGGGCUGAACCUUGGAAAACUACUAAAGUAGUAAAUGCUGGAGGGGUGAUUUGAGCUCUAUUCCAAGGCUCCUUCCCCAGUUCUACCUCCUCUGAAAUGCCCUGGGAGCAUAGGUAGGAUCCAUACACCCAGCUGAUACAUCAGGAGUGAUGUUGCCAGUGUGGACAUCUGAACAGGGCAAAGGUGUAUGUCAAAGUCUGUGGAUGCAUCCAGGCUUCAAAAUCAAACAUUUCCAUAAGACAAGUAAGAAUGUGGGGACUCCGGCACAGUAAUUC
Long non-coding RNA from Bos taurus (domestic cattle), 807 nucleotides. Lineage: Eukaryota; Metazoa; Chordata; Mammalia; Artiodactyla; Bovidae. The record is from Ensembl.